CAAAAGCUUGGUCCUGACUUUACUAUCAACUUUAGCUAAACUUACACAUGCAAGUAUCCGCACCCCUGUGAGAAUGCCCCACAGUCCCCUGCCCGGGAACAAGGAGCUGGUAUCAGGCACAAUUACACCCAGCCCAUGACACCUUGCUUAGCCACACCCUCAAGGGAACUCAGCAGUGAUAGACAUUAAGCUAUAAGUGAAAACUUGACUUAGUCAAAGCUAAGAGGGUCGGUAAAACUCGUGCCAGCCACCGCGGUUAUACGAGAGACCCAAGUUGAUAGACGCCGGCGUAAAGAGUGGUUAAGAUAGACUGAAACUAAAGCCGAACACCCUCAGAGCUGUUAUACGCACCCGAAGGUAAGAAGUCCAAUCACGAAAGUGGCUUUAUGUCACCUGAACCCACGAAAGCUAUGAUACAAACUAGGAUUAGAUACCCUAU
Molecule: ribosomal RNA, 439 nt
Filed under: Pentaceros wheeleri (slender armorhead)
Lineage: Eukaryota; Metazoa; Chordata; Actinopteri; Acropomatiformes; Pentacerotidae
Also listed under: 1 other name
Description: partial 12S rRNA
Rfam family: Bacterial small subunit ribosomal RNA
Source: RNAcentral